This 330-nucleotide ribosomal RNA is filed under the name uncultured bacterium. RNAcentral's name for it is "bacterial SSU rRNA". It matches the Rfam family "Bacterial small subunit ribosomal RNA", at positions 163 to 507 of the family's 1533-position model. The record is from RNAcentral.
CUAAUACCGGAUAGGAGCUCCUGCUGCAUGGUGGGGUUGGAAAGUUUCGGCGGUUGGGGAUGGACUCGCGGCUUAUCAGCUUGUUGGUGGGGUAGUGGCUCACCAAGGCUUUGACGGGUAGCCGGCCUGAGAGGGUGACCGGCCACAUUGGGACUGAGAUACGGCCCCAGACUCCUACGGGAGGCAGCAGUGGGGAAUAUUGCACAAUGGGCGGAAGCCUGAUGCAGCAAUGCCGCGUGCGGGAUGACGGCCUUCGGGUUGUAAACCGCUUUCGCCUGUGACGAAGCGUGAGUGACGGUAAUGGGUAAAGAAGCACCGGCUAACUACGUG